This is a small nucleolar RNA of Loxodonta africana (African savanna elephant), 127 nucleotides long. Ensembl annotates it as small nucleolar RNA SNORA11. Lineage: Eukaryota; Metazoa; Chordata; Mammalia; Proboscidea; Elephantidae. The record is from Ensembl.
GGGGUGUGCUCAGAACAGGGGCCCUGAGGAAUGGUUUCUCUGCGUACAACACACCCACAGAAAUCCAGGUUCAUUGUGACAAGGGGCACACAACUUGUGGCCUUCCUUGAACAAAUGCCCUACACAU